RNAcentral lists this ribosomal RNA (371 nucleotides) under Dictyostelium discoideum. RNAcentral's name for it is "eukaryotic LSU rRNA". It matches the Rfam family "Eukaryotic large subunit ribosomal RNA", at positions 1 to 364 of the family's 3401-position model. The record is from RNAcentral. Lineage: Eukaryota; Evosea; Eumycetozoa; Dictyosteliales; Dictyosteliaceae.
UCCGCCUCACCUUUGUAAGAUUACCCGCUGAACUUAAGCAUAUCAGUAAGCGGAGGAAAAGAAACCAACUAGGAUUCCGUCAGUAACGGCGAGUGAAGACGGAAUAGCCCAAGGUUCAAACCUGGAUCUCUUCGAGGCUAGGUGAUGUGACCUAUGGACUGAUGGAGCCCGCUGUUGUGACUGCUAAUUCCGUUUGGAAUUUCGAGUCGUAGAAGGUGAUAACCCUGUUCGCAGUAUCACAACAGUUGGACUUUGCCAUUAGCUCCACGAGUAGGAAUGUCUGAAAUUGCAUUCUGAAUGGGUGAUAAGAUUCAUCCAAGGCUAAAUAUAUGUUAGGAGAUCGAUAGCAUACAAGUACCGUGAGGGAAAGG